This 258-nucleotide ribosomal RNA is filed under the name uncultured Pseudomonas sp. RNAcentral's name for it is "partial 16S ribosomal RNA". It matches the Rfam family "Bacterial small subunit ribosomal RNA", at positions 96 to 354 of the family's 1533-position model. Lineage: Bacteria; Pseudomonadati; Pseudomonadota; Gammaproteobacteria; Pseudomonadales; Pseudomonadaceae. The record is from RNAcentral.
CGGCGUGACGGGUGAGUAAUGCCUAGGAAUCUGCCUGGUAGUGGGGGACGAACGUUUCGAAAGGAACGCUAAUACCGCAUACGUCCUACGGGAGAAAGCAGGGACCUUCGGGCCUUGCGCUAUCAGAUGAGCCUAGGUCGGAUUAGCUAGUUGGUGAGGUAAUGGCUCACCAAGGCGACGAUCCGUAACUGGUCUGAGAGGAUGAUCAGUCACACUGGAACUGAGACACGGUCCAGACUCCUACGGGAGGCAGCAGGG